GGGAAUGUGGCUUAGUGGUAGAGUGCUUGCCUAGCAUGCAUGAAGUCCUGGUUCGAUUCCUCAGUACCA
This 69-nucleotide transfer RNA is filed under the name Dipodomys ordii (Ord's kangaroo rat). It matches the Rfam family "tRNA". Rfam says of the family: Transfer RNA (tRNA) molecules are approximately 80 nucleotides in length. Their secondary structure includes four short double-helical elements and three loops (D, anti-codon, and T loops). The record is from Rfam by way of RNAcentral. Lineage: Eukaryota; Metazoa; Chordata; Mammalia; Rodentia; Heteromyidae.